AAGAUGGGACUGCGGCCGAUCAGGCUGCUGGUGGGGUAAUGGCCCACCAAACCUGUAACCGGUACGGGCCUUGAGAGAGGGGGCCCGGAGAUGGACACUGAGAGAAGGGUCCAGGUCCUACGGGGCGCAGCAGGCGCGAAACCUUCGCAAUGCGCGAAAGCGUGACGAGGUUAAUCCGAGUGGUCCCCGCUGAGGGGAUCUUUUCUUGGCUCUAAAACGGCCAGGGAAUAAGGGGAGGGCAAGUCUGGUGUCAGCCGCCGCGGUAAUACCAGCUCCUCGAGUGGUCGGGGCGAUUAUUGGGCCUAAAGCAUCCGUAGCCGGUUCCGUAGGUCUUCUGUUAAAUCCAACGGCUUAACCGUUGGCCCGCAGGAGAUACCGCGGGACUAGGAGGCGGGAGAGGUGGACGGUACUCCACGUGUAGGGGUAAAAUCCUUUGAUCCGUGGAAGACCACCAGUGGCGAAGGCGGUCCACCAGAACGCGCUCGACGGUGAGGGAUGAAAGCUGGGGGAGCGAACCGGAUUAGAUACCCGGGUAGUCCCAGCCGUAAACGAUGCGAGCUAGAUGAUCCAAUCGCAAAUCGCGAUUGGAGUGUCGCAGGGAAGCCGUUAAGCUCGCCGCCUGGGGAGUACGGUCGCAAGACUGAAACUUAAAGGAAUUGGC
This 661-nucleotide ribosomal RNA is filed under the name uncultured crenarchaeote. Its description in RNAcentral is "bacterial SSU rRNA". It matches the Rfam family "Archaeal small subunit ribosomal RNA", at positions 206 to 869 of the family's 1478-position model. The record is from RNAcentral. Lineage: Archaea; Thermoproteati; Thermoproteota.